CCUACGGGCGGCAGCAGUGGGGAAUAUUGCACAAUGGGCGCAAGCCUGAUGCAGCCAUGCCGCGUGUGUGAAGAAGGCCUUCGGGUUGUAAAGCACUUUCAGCGGGGAGGAAGGCGUUAAGGUUAAUAACCUUGUCGAUUGACGUUACCCGCAGAAGAAGCACCGGCUAACUCCGUGCCAGCAGCCGCGGUAAUACGGAGGGUGCAAGCGUUAAUCGGAAUUACUGGGCGUAAAGCGCACGCAGGCGGUCUGUCAAGUCGGAUGUGAAAUCCCCGGGCUCAACCUGGGAACUGCAUUCGAAACUGGCAGGCUAGAGUCUUGUAGAGGGGAGUAGAAUUCCAGGUGUAGCGGUAAAAUGCGUAGAGAUCUGGAGGAAUACCGGUGGCGAAGGCGGCCCCCUGGACAAAGACUGACGCUCAGGUGCGAAAGCGUGGGGAGCAAACAGGAUUAGAUACCCGAGUAGUC
RNAcentral lists this ribosomal RNA (465 nucleotides) under uncultured Klebsiella sp. Its description in RNAcentral is "bacterial SSU rRNA". It matches the Rfam family "Bacterial small subunit ribosomal RNA", at positions 338 to 795 of the family's 1533-position model. Lineage: Bacteria; Pseudomonadati; Pseudomonadota; Gammaproteobacteria; Enterobacterales; Enterobacteriaceae. The record is from RNAcentral.